CGAAGGGGCGUAGCGUUGUUCGGAAUCACUGGGCGGUAAAGACGUACGUAGGCGGAUCGUUAAGUCAGGGGUGGAAAUACCCGACGGCUCAAACCUCGGAACUGCCUUUGAUACUGGCGAUCUUGAGUCCGGGAGGAGGUGAGUGGAACUCCUAGUGUAGAGGUGAAAUUCGUAGAUAUUAGGAAGAACACCAGUGGCGAAGGCGGCUCACUGGCCCGGUACUGACGCUGAUGUACGAAAAGCGUGGGGAGCAAACAGGAUU
This 262-nucleotide ribosomal RNA is filed under the name uncultured bacterium. RNAcentral's name for it is "partial 16S ribosomal RNA". It matches the Rfam family "Bacterial small subunit ribosomal RNA", at positions 526 to 779 of the family's 1533-position model. The record is from RNAcentral.